CCGGGUGUGGCGCAGCUGGUAGCGCGCUUGACUGGGGGUCAAGAGGCCGCAGGUUCAAGUCCUGUCACUCGGACCA
Molecule: transfer RNA, 76 nt
Filed under: Clostridiales bacterium
Lineage: Bacteria; Bacillati; Bacillota; Clostridia; Eubacteriales
Also listed under: 3 other names
Description: tRNA-Pro
Rfam family: tRNA
About the family: Transfer RNA (tRNA) molecules are approximately 80 nucleotides in length. Their secondary structure includes four short double-helical elements and three loops (D, anti-codon, and T loops).
Source: RNAcentral